CCACGGUAGACGCUGUCGUGGAGCAGGCAUCGCCUGGCCCCGACCAUGUCGCGUGUCCACUACAAGUUCUUCUCCAAGCUGAACUAUGAUACAGUCACCUUCGACGGCCUCUACAUCUCUCGGCGUGACCUCAAGCUCCAGAUCAUGGGCCACGAGAAGCUGACGGCGGCCAGCUGCGACCUGCAGAUCACCAACGCCCAGACCAAAGAAGUUGCUGUUCUGACAACUACCUUCAGAUCUGUGCUUUAGUCGCGGAGCUAGGCACAGAAGAACACGGGGUUGAUGGGCGAUGUAUAGUGCUUACAAAAGUUUUGGUUUCCUGGAAUUCUUCUAGGUAAAAUGAUAAGGAAAUGUGGGAGGAGAUCUUUUAAUAACAAACCUGCCAGAUUUCUUUGAAAUCUGGCGGAGGAAGCUGAAAGUGAUGGAGACAGAACAGAUGGCUAGUUUGAAG
RNA transcript from Aquila chrysaetos chrysaetos, 451 nucleotides. It is a transcript of the gene named E3 ubiquitin-protein ligase RBBP6-like, with no coding region annotated. Lineage: Eukaryota; Metazoa; Chordata; Aves; Accipitriformes; Accipitridae. The transcript is spliced from 2 exons. The record is from RefSeq and is a predicted model, not a curated record.